AUGUAGACUAGAUGAAUCAGAUAGUUAGUUAUAUAAUGUAGACUAGAUGAAUCAGAUAGUUAGAUAUAUAAUGUAGACUAGAUGAAUCAGCUAAUUAGAAAUAUCAGAUGUACGUGGCUGUGUGUCGAACACACACACAGAUAGACAUCCCAUGUGGUUCCACUUUAAACAAACUGCAACUGAAAGCAACACUGCAGUCAGUGUAUUCUAAUCUGGAGCAGGGCAGGUGGUGUAACUGUCUAACGAGACCCAUAGCGUGUUACAUGCUAAGCUAACACAAAAACACAUUCUCUCAGUAACCUGACCAGGUAAAUGAAGACGGUGUGUUCAGUACGUGACAGGUGUGUUCAGUAAAUGACAGGUGUGUUCAGUAGACGACAGGUGUGUUCAGUAAAUGACAGGUGUGUUCAGUAAGUGACAGGUGUGUUCAGUAAGUGACAGGUGUGUUCAGUACGCGACAGGUGUGUUCAGUAAGUGACAGGUGUGUUCAGUACGUGCCAGGUGUGUUCAGUAAGUGACAGGUGUGUUCAGUACAUGACAGGUGUAUUCAGUAAGUGACAAGUGUGUUCAGUAGACACCAAGUGUGUUCAGUAAGUGACAGGUGUGUUCAGUAAGUGACAGGUGUGUUCAGUAGACACCAAACGUGUUCAGUAAGUGACAGGUGUGUUCAGUAGACACCAAACGUGUUCAGUAAGUGACAGGUGUGUUCAGUAGACACCAAACGUGUUCAGUAAGUGACAAGUGUGUUCAGUAGACACCAAGUGUGUUCAGUAAGUGACAGGUGUGUUCAGUAAGUGACAGGUGUGUUCAAUAAGUGACAGGUGUGUUCAGUACGCAACAGGUGUGUUCAGUACGUGACAGGUGUGUUCAGUACAUGACAGGUGUGUUCAGUAAGUGACAGGUGUGUUCAGUACGUGACAGGUGUGUUCAGUACGCGACAGGUGUGUUCAGUACGUGACAGGUGUGUUCAGUACAUGACAGGUGUGUUCAAUAAGUGACAGGUGUGUUCAGUAAGUGACAGGUGUGUUCAGUAAGUGACAGGUGUUUUCAGUACGUGACAGGUGUGUUCAGUAAGUGACAGGUGUGUUCAAUAAGUGACAGGUGUGUUCAGUACGUGCCAGGUGUGUUCAGUAGAUGACAGGUGUGUUCAGUAAGUGACAGGUGUUUUCAGUACGUGACAGGUGUGUUCAGUACGUGCCAGGUGUGUUCAGUAAGUGCCAGGUGUGUUCAGUACGUGCCAGGUGUGUUCAGUAAGUGACAGGUGUGUUCAGUACGUGCCAGGUGUGUUCAGUAAGUGACAGGUGUGUUCAGUACGUGCCAGGUGUGUUCAGUACGUGCCAGCCACACUCGUUGCUGACAGGUGUAUAAAACCGAGCACACCGCCAUGCAAUCUCCAUAGACAAACAUUGUUAGUAGAAUGGCUCGUACUGAAGAGCUCAGUGACUUUCAACGUGGCACCAUCAAAGGAUGUCACCUUUCCAACAAGUCAGUUUGUCAAAUUCCUACCCUGCUAGAGCUGUCCCGGGUCAACUGUAAGUGCUGUUUGUGAAGUGGAAACGUCUAGGAGCAACAACGGCUCAGUCGGGAAGUGGUUG
Molecule: long non-coding RNA, 1595 nt
Filed under: Salmo salar (Atlantic salmon)
Lineage: Eukaryota; Metazoa; Chordata; Actinopteri; Salmoniformes; Salmonidae
Description: lncRNA (ENSSSAG00000099255.1, ENSSSAG00000118647.1)
Source: RNAcentral